Molecule: small nuclear RNA, 141 nt
Filed under: Gopherus evgoodei (Goodes thornscrub tortoise)
Lineage: Eukaryota; Metazoa; Chordata; Testudines; Testudinidae
Description: U4 spliceosomal RNA (ENSGEVG00005018534.1)
Rfam family: U4 spliceosomal RNA
About the family: U4 small nuclear RNA (U4 snRNA) is a component of the major U2-dependent spliceosome. The structure of U4 snRNA from yeast and human has been reported.
Source: Rfam by way of RNAcentral
AGCUUUGCGCAGUGGCAGUAUCGUAGCUAAUGAGGUUAAUCCGAGGCGCGAUUAUUGCUAGUUGAAAACUUUUCCCAAUACCCCGCCAUGACGACUUGAAAUAUAGUCGGCAUUGGCAAUUUUUGACAGUCUCUUGCGAGA